AUGUGGGGGAUAGUCUUCAUCAUCCUUUCCUCACUGGGACAAUGCUCUAAUAAUGAAGAUCAUCACACUUUUAUGGAUUUACAACUCAAGAAUUACAACUCAAAGCUAGAACAAAAUAUGACUGUAUAUGAAUGCCUCCGGCGGUGUACCGGGAUAUGCAAUGAAUCAAGAGUGACAUGUAUGAAAAUUAUGAAGGUGGACUUGCCACAAAUACGAUGUCAACUACAUGAUCAUGCAAAGAGCAAUAUGACAAUGAUGAAACGUGUCAUAAUAAACGGAACGGUGGAAAGUUGCAUGGCAAUAUAUCUCGGAAUGGCUAUGGAAAUGCCAUAUAGGUAG
RNAcentral lists this ribosomal RNA (339 nucleotides) under Triticum aestivum (bread wheat). RNAcentral's name for it is "partial small subunit ribosomal RNA". The record is from RNAcentral. Lineage: Eukaryota; Viridiplantae; Streptophyta; Magnoliopsida; Poales; Poaceae.